This 30-nucleotide ribosomal RNA is filed under the name Telipogon falcatus. Its description in RNAcentral is "partial 26S ribosomal RNA". The record is from RNAcentral. Lineage: Eukaryota; Viridiplantae; Streptophyta; Magnoliopsida; Asparagales; Orchidaceae.
GUGACCCCAGGAUGGGCGAGGCCACCCGCG